Long non-coding RNA from Rhagoletis pomonella (apple maggot), 506 nucleotides. RefSeq lists it as uncharacterized. The transcript is spliced from 3 exons. The record is from RefSeq and is a predicted model, not a curated record. Lineage: Eukaryota; Metazoa; Arthropoda; Insecta; Diptera; Tephritidae.
AUUUAGUUGCAUGCAAACAUUAGACAAAGCAGGUUGAUGUCGCAUUGUUGUUGAAAAAAGAGAGAAAUUUCAAUUUGUUGGCGUUAGCGAAGAAGAAGUUAUCAAAGCUAUGUUGGGCAUUAAGUCGAAUGCUGUGGGUGAUGAUGGAAUUUCACUUAAAUUUGUCAAACUUGUGCUGCCGUAUAUUUGGAAGAAGGCUGCCAGUUGCCAAAAAGAACACGGUUAUGGAUCCCAGCGAUUAUAGGCCGAUAAGUAUACUACCAGCGUUUUCAAAAGUAUGUGAGUCCUUGAUGGUAGCACAAAUAUCGUCAUACAUACAUAAAAAUAAAUUAUCUCCGCUACAAUCCGGCUUCAGAUCUGCAAUCACGGUGCAGCGAACAAAGGUGGCGCCGUCAGUGGUACCGCUACUUUGGUUUUGCCGAUUUUGACAGUUGUGGUAACUUAUAAAUAAACCUUUGUUUACAAAUCAGCGAAAGAGAAAUUUGAAUUAUAAGUGAAAAAUCAGU